GAUUGAACGCUGGCGGCAUGCCUAACACAUGCAAGUCGAACGGUAACAGAACUAGCUUGCUAGUUGCUGACGAGUGGCGGACGGGUGAGUAAUGUAUAGGAACUUGCCUAAUAGUGGGGGACAACUUAUGGAAACGUAAGCUAAUACCGCAUACGCUCUACGGAGGAAAGCAGGGGAUCUUCGGACCUUGCGCUAUUAGAUAGGCCUAUAUUGGAUUAGCUAGUUGGUGAGGUAAUGGCUCACCAAGGCGACGAUCCAUAGCUGGUUUGAGAGAAUGAUCAGCCACACUGGGACUGAGACACGGCCCAGACUCCUACGGGAGGCAGCAGUGGGGAAUAUUGCACAAUGGAGGAAACCCUUAUGCAGCCAUGCCGCGUGUGUGAAGAAGGCCUUAGGGUUGUAAAGCACUUUCAGCAGGGAGGAAAGGUUGAUGUUUAAUAGGCAUUAGCUGUGACGUUACCUGCAGAAGAAGCACCGUCAAACUCCGUGCCAGCAGCCGCGGUAAUACGGAGGGUGCGAGCGUUAAUCGGAAUUACUGGGCGUAAAGCGCGCGUAGGUGGCUUUUUAAGUCAGAUGUGAAAGCCCUGGGCUCAACCUAGGAACUGCAUUUAAAAACUGUCAGGCUAGAGUAUGGUAGAGGAUAGUGGAAUUUCCGGUGUAGCGGUGAAAUGCGUAGAGAUCGGAAGGAACAUCAGUGGCGAAGGCGGCUAUCUGGACCAAUACUGACGCUGAGGUGCGAAAGCGUGGGGGAGCAAACAGGAUUAGAUACCCUGGUAGUCCACGCCGUAAACGAUGUCAACUAGCCGUUGGGGGGCUUGUCCCCUUAGUGGCGCAGCUAACGCGAUAAGUUGACCGCCUGGGGAGUACGGCCGCAAGGUUAAAACUCAAAUGAAUUGACGGGGGCCCGCACAAGCGGUGGAGCAUGUGGUUUAAUUCGAUGCAACGCGAAGAACCUUACCAGGUCUUGACAUCCCGAGAAUUUACUAGAGAUAGUUUAGUGCCUUCGGGAGCUCGGUGACAGGUGCUGCAUGGCUGUCGUCAGCUCGUGUCGUGAGAUGUUGGGUUAAGUCCCGUAACGAGCGCAACCCUUGUCCUUAUUUGCCAGCACGUAAUGGUGGGAACUCUAAGGAGACUGCCGGUGACAAACCGGAGGAAGGUGGGGACGACGUCAAGUCAUCAUGGCCCUUACGAGUAGGGCUACACACGUGCUACAAUGGCCGGUACAGAGGGCUGCUAAACCGCGAGGUGGCGCUAAUCUCAGAAAACCGGUCGUAGUCCGGAUCGGAGUCUGCAACUCGACUCCGUGAAGUCGGAAUCGCUAGUAAUCGCGAAUCAGAAUGUCGCGGUGAAUACGUUCCCGGGCCUUGUACACACCGC
RNAcentral lists this ribosomal RNA (1377 nucleotides) under uncultured prokaryote. RNAcentral describes it as "partial 16S ribosomal RNA". It matches the Rfam family "Bacterial small subunit ribosomal RNA", at positions 27 to 1393 of the family's 1533-position model. The record is from RNAcentral.